Molecule: non-coding RNA, 1076 nt
Organism: Labrus bergylta (ballan wrasse)
Lineage: Eukaryota; Metazoa; Chordata; Actinopteri; Labriformes; Labridae
Source: RefSeq, a predicted model, not a curated record
ACUUCAGUGUGUUAACGUGCUUUCAGAUUUGAAUGUUGUAACAACAACAAACUUUGUGGAUGCUACAGAGACGAUGUGAGGAAUGUCUCCAUUACUAGUUAUAUACGAUUACAACAUUGAUGAACAAUAAGUGAAUAAAUAAAAAGUAUCUUAACAUUAACUAAACAUUUUUUGCCCCUCAUGUGAUGACAAUUCUGACGUCAUGUCGGGCUCUUAAUUCUUUCCCGAGUUUCCGAGUUGUUGCUCCGACUUGAGCAAGCGUUCAUGUUCUUUUUCCAACUCAGAAACUUAUUUUCCCGAUGUGUCCGACACCAUAUGAAUGCACCAUUAGUUCAUGUGGACUAAAGUAGUAGAAUGACAGACAUUACACUGCUGGAGUAUAAAAAAAAAACAUGUUGAUGUGAAACACACGAGGGAGCUGAAAUAUGAUCCUGGCUCAUAACUUGAUACAGGAACUUGUAUUCAGCAGCAGACGGGGUUUUUGUAUCAGUCUGUUUCACUGUGUGGUACAUCUUUGGCUCUGGAACUAAACUGUUUGUAACAGAUAAACAGGUGGUGCAGCCCGUGGUGAGCGUGUACCCGGCAGCAUCGAGAGCCCAGCUGGAGGAGAAGAGCUCUCUACUGUGUGUGGCCUCAGCCAUGUUUCCUCCUCUGGUCCGGAUCUCCUGGAAAAAACAGAAAGGAGCGGGCCUCUGCAGGAUGUGAACCCUGCUGAUGUGAAACGGCAGGAGCUGAGGGAGUCGGGGUGCAGCGCCUCCAUCUUGACGAUCCCUCAGAUACCGAAUAAAUACCUCUGCUCAGUGCAGCAUCAGGGGGGCACAGUGACUGCUCAAAAAGAAAUAGAGGUCACAAAUCCUACGACCUCCAGUCCUCCAGAGAGAGAGCCGACUGACAAUCCAGCUUCAAGCUCAGCAGCCCAGCCACCUACAGCCAAACCAGCCUUACAGGACGCGGGAGAAGGAGUGUCCUUUCAGUCUCAGUGCAAGGUGAAGCUGCUGACGCUGCUGUACACGGUGCUGAUACUAAAGAGUCUGGUGUACUGCUGUGGACUCUCUCUGCUGAGGAUCUUCAGAAAC